ACAAGCAGUGGAGUAUGUGGUUUAAUUCGACGCAACGCGAAGAACCUUACCAGGGCUUGACAUCCUCUGGCGACGCAAGAGAUUGCGUUUCCCUUCGGGACAGAGAGACAGGUGGUGCAUGGUUGUCGUCAGCUCGUGUCGUGAGAUGUUGGGUUAAGUCCCGCAACGAGCGCAACCCCUAUUGCCAGUUGCCAGCAUGAAAGAUGGGCACUCUGGCGAGACUGCCGUUGACAAAACGGAGGAAGGUGGGGACGACGUCAAAUCAUCAUGCCCCUUAUGUCCUGGGCUACACACGUACUACAAUGGCAGCAACAGAGGGCGGCGAGGCCGCGAGGCCAAGCGAAUCCCAAAAUGCUGUCUCAGUUCAGAUUGCAGGCUGAAACUCGCCUGCAUGAAGUCGGAAUUGCUAGUAAUGGCAGGUCAGCAUACUGCCGUGAAUACGUUCCCGGGCCUU
Molecule: ribosomal RNA, 454 nt
Filed under: uncultured Fastidiosipila sp.
Lineage: Bacteria; Bacillati; Bacillota; Clostridia; Eubacteriales; Oscillospiraceae
Description: bacterial SSU rRNA
Rfam family: Bacterial small subunit ribosomal RNA
Source: RNAcentral